UUUGAGAAAUUGUUGUAC
RNAcentral lists this small nuclear RNA (18 nucleotides) under Arabidopsis thaliana (thale cress). Its description in RNAcentral is "snRNA_18703". Lineage: Eukaryota; Viridiplantae; Streptophyta; Magnoliopsida; Brassicales; Brassicaceae. The record is from RNAcentral.